This is a long non-coding RNA of Alligator mississippiensis (American alligator), 4580 nucleotides long. RefSeq lists it as uncharacterized. Lineage: Eukaryota; Metazoa; Chordata; Crocodylia; Alligatoridae. The record is from RefSeq and is a predicted model, not a curated record. The transcript has 3 exons.
AGGAGCUGGGCACUUGGGAGCCUGAACUCUUCUCAACUCCAUGAUUUCUGAACCAGCUAUUUCACUGAACUGGGUGACUCCCAAGAGCUAGAAGACCUUAGGAACAGUAAUGCCAAUUGUCACGAAACCAUUGUGAGACUCAGGAUUUCAAAGUCAAACUAAUUCCAACUCAUGAUCUCCCAAUUCAACCCUCAGCUCUCUGGAUUUUCCCAGCUGUUGCUGCCAGUGACAAUGGGAUUUCUACAUCCUGGAAAGUAAGUCAGAGUGAAUUUCAAGCUUGAACCUCUCACCCCCAUAAGCUCACCAUGGUAUGGGAACCUAUAACACAUCCUGAUUCUACCUGACGCCGUGAGACGCAGGACAAAAGCUCACCAGUACCAAAUGUGUCAGAAGGAAGUAAUGACUAUGGAAUGGCCUAACACCCAUCAGUGAGAUGGAUGAGAUGCUCAGCUUCUUAAAGGGCUCUGUAUUCCUUGUAUUUACCUGUCUUGUCUGGUGGUGAGAAGGAUGCAAGCCUGAUGUUGGCAGAAGGACUGCAGCUGCAAAGGACUUCAAAGCUUCCAAGAAAGAAAUAGAGAUUCUUCCAGGCAUAACCCUCUACCUCUUCAUCUGCUGCUUUCUAAUCUGGAAUUUCAGAGAGCCAGUGUCAAGACCGAAUCCUUUAAGGAUCUUUUCCUUUUUACAUACCGCUUCUUUGGAGCUUACCUCUUUUAUUUUUGAGAAGAUGGACUGAGAUUGCCUCAUACCAGAGGAGCUUCUGAACAAAGCUUCAGGACAUUUUUCUCAUUUCUUUCCCUCAUUUUUCCUUUCUGGGGACCAUUCUUAUGAAAUACUUUUAAAGCAAGAAGUAGAUUCCAUUCCACAACUAGAAUCAGGAAUAGAGAUGCCAUUAAUGGGACUUAAAACCUAGAUGUUCCUGGCUAGCACACCUUAGGGUUAGACUGAUCACACAUUUGAGAUCAGGACAGAGUUGUACCCCACAAUCAGAUUAGUAUGGGCUGUAGGUUUUUUGGGGUGUUUUUUGAUUGUGGUUUGGGAGAGGAGGAGCAAGGAAGAGGAAGCUGGAGACAGCAUGGUCCUCUUCCUUCAAUCGCUUGAGUGUAUAUUGACAAAUUACUGUGUGUUCCUGCAGGGGCAGGACAUAGAUAAUUUUCUCAAUCUAUCUCAAUCUAUGGCAACUAAAAGGAUAGUUUGAUGUUUCAGACAUUUUACCUCAUAGUUGUAUGUGUGGGUUGUUCCCAGUUUUUUAAGAUUUGGUUAGGCAAGCACUUGUAUAGGAUGGGUUAGAUAGGGAUGAUCCUGCCUUCGAGCAGUGGAUUAACUAGAUGGUUUGUUGAGGUCCCUCCCAACCCAACUUUUCUAUUUCUUUGAGAAUAGGAGCAGGGGGAGUUUUUCCUAUUAGUUUCUUCUUAAUUUUAUUCUCCCAAAAAGGAAAGAGUUUUGGACCUUCUACUAUUCUGAAGUCAGAUUAGUGACUCUAUCCUCCAUAAUUUCCUUAUCAGAUAUUCAAGAGUGGUUUGUGAAUCUUGACUUGCAAAACAUACAUUUCCACAUAUCUCUCCUUGCAGCCCACAUCAGAUAUCUCAGAUUCCUGUAGGAACACCUCAUUACUAGUAUGGGAUAACAGCCUUUCUAAGCCUCAAGAAUAUUCAUCAAGGGCUUAGCAAUUAUAACAGCACAUCUAUGGUGACACAUGAUCUGCCUGUUUAACAGAACUCCUAAUACCAGAAAUGAGUUCCAAAAGUGGAAUAUGUGUGGACAAUCAUUCAAAGACAAAGGAAUAAUUACUUAUAGUAACUGUGGUUCUCCAAAAUGUGUUAUCCACAUGGUUUCUACAGCCCACUCAUCUUUCCCACUACCAGUGAAUCCUUCUCCUCUAGGAGCUUGUUUUGGUGAAGUAAUUGAAUGACAGUUGAUUGGUUCUGCCCUUCAUGACCUUUGUUACUGAGGCACAAGGACACCUAGCAUACUGGACUAAUUUUUAUGAACAUUACUUGGCCAAAAUAAUCUCACCUUGUUCAUGUGGGGAACACAUACACCAGGAAUGGGAACCAUUUUGACCACACAUCUCAAAGAGCCACAACUCGUGCAAUGUAAUAAACAAUAUUUGUAUGCUUAUUUUUGAAGUAGAACAUUUUAAAUAAUUUAAACAGAUAAACAUGCACCUCCAUUGGACCUCUAAUAACAAUAUUAGACAAUAUUAAAUAGAAUACCCUAAAUGCAUAUUAAUUAAAUUGAAUAGCUUAAAUACAUGGAUGUUAAAGACAACUGAAUUAGCUCAAAUUAGAAUGGGAGGUAGGUCCAGUGAUUUCUCUCCUAAUUUGAGUAAUUUCUUUACAUUUGUCUAAUUUACCCAACACCAACACUAUGAUAUCUCUACCUUUCUUUAAAAAAUCCAAAUUACAUUCCAAAGUAUCAAAUCUCUUAAAUGCAGCAGUAUUUUACAAUACAAGCAGGAACUCCUGAAACUUGAUGGCUUUUCCUAUUUUGCAUGGUCCUAAUUCCUGAAAAACCCAAUGACUCAGACUGGAGUCAAGAAGUAGUUGCAUUAAUUGUCUCUCCUAAAAUCAACCCCCAGCCUAACCCUGGAAGUUCUGUUGAACUUAGGAGUUGAGGUUGACUUUCUACCUCUUCCAUUUUUCAAACGUACCUAGAAUUCACCCUCACAUUGCAGGCCUGAAGCAGAAGUCCACUAUCAGCAAUCCCAUAAUUUUCUGUUGUUGACUUCUGGUGUUUCUUCACUCCACUUCUCUCUUUGCCUUAGUAGAGACAAGUCUUCAGGAGUGAGAGAUUCAUCCCUAGUAGGGCUCACAAGGUAACUUGAGAUAUUUCUUAGUGUCAUACUCCAGAAAUAAGAACUAUAAUAUGGAUGGCUUUGGUGUAUAUGAAAAGGCAUAAAUGGUACAUUGGGUCUCAUGGAGGGGUGUGCCAGGUUAAGAAGGAUCCUAUAGGCUUCCUUUAAAUAUCUCAGUAGGCAUACCCUGAAUAAGAAAAUCCCACUGACUUCAGUAGAACCAAGCUUUCAUCUACUUCAAAAAAAACCUGUAAAUUGUAUGGCUUUUAACAGAUGGUUUAGAAACUUGGUGAGUAUCAAUACCACUUAAAGUGAUACCUACUCUUUUCAACCAUUGACUAGAAAUUUGACCUAUGGAAGAGCGAAGGGAUAUUUACAAUAGUACCAUGAUGUGAUGCUUGCUUCAGAUUAACAGAUUCUGCUGUCCAUUAAGAAUUAUUUGGCACAUGGAAGAGGGUAACAAAAAGAAAAACGUGGGGAUUUGAGUCUGCAUUUAGCAACAGGUACCAUGUACUGGUAUCUAAUUUAUCCACUUUACUCUUAGAACGAGAAAUCAGAUUGAUUUUGGGCAUCUUGAGCAAGAGACACAUAUGUGUACUAUAGGAAAUUGCUUGGUAUAUAAUAGCUCCAAUUUUGCCAUAUUUGUUGUAGUGAGAGUUUUGUGGGAAGCAGGGCUUGUGGAAAUAAUUUGUACUACCUCACUGGAUACAGCCAGAUGGUACAAAAGAAUCCCAAUGGCUGUAGCCCACCAAAUAUCUCCAGUUGCUGAAGUAACUGUUAGUUUUGUCAAAUAAAUUGCCAUUUUAUUUAGUAUUCUAUAAAACUGCAGAUAUUGUAUUUCAACAGUACAGCAAUGAUCUUACCUGAAACAUUUGGUACCAUUUCAUAAGGUAUUUUUUACUGGAGUUACAAAAUUUCUUUUUAGACUGCUCUACAGUUCAGCAAAUGUUUGCCUAGGGAGGAGCAGAGUCAUGACUGCUACAUACACUUCCAGGGCAGACAUGCACACAGGUGUGUGUGUGGGUGGGGAGUUUAUAACCAAGGAAGAAUAGAGAAUGAACAGAUAAACCACACAAAGGGAGUAUGUUUGAUCUUUGUUCUAGAAUUCAACGAGAGCAAGAGCUGUGAAAAAUUACUUUCUGUUCCAUUUAAAAAGAAUCGGUCCAACCUUUCACCUAAUCCUAAUUUCCCAUUUUCUUAAACACUAUUAUGUAAAUUUCACCUUUUUAACCACAAACAAGAUUUCUCACAUACAAAGAUGCAUGCAGCCUAACUUUCCUGGUGCUCCAAUGAAGUAAUCCUUUGCUACUUAAUGUCUUUAGGGCAAGGACUUUAAUCAGUGGUAUACCUGAUAUUCUGCACGUGAGUUUAAAUUCCUGCAGUUUCGAUUAAAUUGACUUAACUGUAUGCAUUCGCAAGGUUUUCACAAGCUCAUUUGUGAGAAUUUCAUGAUUAAAAAUUCUGUAUGUUUGCUUGUCAAGGCAUAAUCAUUUUUCAUGCUGUGUCUAUGAGAUAGCUUCAAAUAGUCAGGUUUAUGAGGAAGGCAGGAGUAGAAAUGCCAUAAAAAGCAUUCACAGAGAUGACUUUGUAGCUGUGAACUCUGAUUUCCUUCUGCUUCACCUAAAAUCUUAAAGCUAUGGGUUACUGUGAGAGAAGUUUUUAGAAACAACUUAAAUCUAUCAGCUAACUAGCUCCCCCUCUUGAAACUUCAAAAAAGCUGACUUAAAACUGUAUAAUAAGUUGUAAUGAGAGGUGAGAGGAAAUAAAACUAAAUGUAGUAUUUUGU